GGUUGUGGCUCAGAGGUAAAGCACUUGCCUAGCAUUCAUGAGGGACUGGGUUCAAUACUCAGCACCA
Molecule: transfer RNA, 67 nt
Filed under: Marmota monax (woodchuck)
Lineage: Eukaryota; Metazoa; Chordata; Mammalia; Rodentia; Sciuridae
Description: tRNA.Ala
Source: RNAcentral